This 497-nucleotide ribosomal RNA is filed under the name uncultured bacterium. RNAcentral describes it as "partial 16S ribosomal RNA". It matches the Rfam family "Bacterial small subunit ribosomal RNA", at positions 28 to 507 of the family's 1533-position model. The record is from RNAcentral.
GAUGAACGCUGGCGGCGUGCCUAAUACAUGCGAGUCGAGCGAACAGACGAGGAGCUUGCUCCUCUGACGUUAGCGGCGGACGGGUGAGUAACACGUGGAUAACCUACCUAUAAGACUGGGAUAACUUCGGGAAACCGGAGCUAAUACCGGAUAAUAUAUUGAACCGCAUGGUUCAAUAGUGAAAGACGAUUUUGCUGUCACUUAUAGAUGGAUCCGCGCCGCAUUAGCUAGUUGGUAAGGUAACGGCUUACCAAGGCAACGAUGCGUAGCCGACCUGAGAGGGUGAUCGGCCACACUGGAACUGAGACACGGUCCAGACUCCUACGGGAGGCAGCAGUAGGGAAUCUUCCGCAAUGGGCGAAAGCCUGACGGAGCAACGCCGCGUGAGUGAUGAAGGUCUUCGGAUCGUAAAACUCUGUUAUUAGGGAAGAACAAAUGUGUAAGUAACUAUGCACGUCUUGACGGUACCUAAUCAGAAAGCCACGGCUAACUACGUG